UUGGGUAGUACUGGUGCAGGAUGGGCCCGCGGCCUAUCACUUGUUGGUGGGGUAAUGGCCUACCAAGGCGACGACGGGUAGCCGGCCUGAGAGGGCGACCGGCCACACUGGGACUGAGACACGGCCCAAACUCCUACGGGAGGCAGCAGUGGGGAAUAUUGCACAAUGGGCGAAAGCCUGAUGCAGCGACGCCGCGUGAGGGAUGACGGCCUUCGGGUUGUAAACCUCUUUCAGCAGGGACGAAGCGAGAGUGACGGUACA
Molecule: ribosomal RNA, 261 nt
Filed under: Rhodococcus (subgen. Prescottella) equi
Lineage: Bacteria; Bacillati; Actinomycetota; Actinomycetes; Mycobacteriales; Nocardiaceae
Description: Rhodococcus hoagii partial 16S ribosomal RNA
Rfam family: Bacterial small subunit ribosomal RNA
Source: RNAcentral